Molecule: ribosomal RNA, 469 nt
Filed under: uncultured bacterium
Lineage: Bacteria
Description: partial 16S ribosomal RNA
Rfam family: Bacterial small subunit ribosomal RNA
Source: RNAcentral
GACGAACGCUGGCGGCGUGCUUAACACAUGCAAGUCGAACGGAAAGGCCCUGCUUGCAGGGUGCUCGAGUGGCGAACGGGUGAGUAACACGUGGGUGAUCCGCCCCUUACUUUGGGAUAAGCCUGGGAAACUGGGUCUAAUACUGGAUAGGACCAUGCUGGCGGUGGUGUGGUGGUUAGAUUGGUUUCGGUAGGUGAUGAGCUCGCGGCCUAUCAGCUUGUUGGUGGGGUAUUGGGCUACCAAGGCGUCGACGGGUGGCCGGCCGGUGAGGGUGGGCGGCCGGAUUGGGACUGAGUGACGGACGAGACUCCUACGGGAGGGAGGAGGGGGGGAGAAUGCACAAUGGGCGGAAGGCUGCUGCAGCGACGCCGCGUGGGGGAUGAAGGACGUCGGGUGGUAUGCAACUUGCAGCCAUGAGGAAGGACUUGCGGUGACGGUAGUGGUAGAAGAAGCAACGGCUAACUACGUG